Molecule: ribosomal RNA, 406 nt
Filed under: uncultured bacterium
Lineage: Bacteria
Description: partial 16S ribosomal RNA
Rfam family: Bacterial small subunit ribosomal RNA
Source: RNAcentral
AUUGAACGCUGGCGGCAUGCCUAACACAUGCAAGUAGAACGAGUGGCGGACGGGUGAGUCAUGUCUGGGAAACUGCCUGAUGGGGGGGGAUAACUACUGGAAACGGUAGCUAAUACCGCAUACCAUCUAACGUGCCCACAUGGGUUUAGCUAGUUGGUGGGGUAAAGGCUCACCUAGCCGACGAUCCCUAGCUGGUCUGAGAGGGGGACGAGCCACACUGGACCGGAGACACGGCCCAGACUCCUACGUGAGGCAGCAGUGGGGAAUGUUGGACAAUGGGCGAAAGCCUGAUCCAGCCAUGCCGCGGGUGUGAAGAAGGUCUUCGGAUUGUAAAGCACUUUAGGUUGGGAGGCGUUACCUACAGAAUAAGCACCGGCUAACUUCGUGCCAGCAGCCGCGGUAAUUC